Molecule: RNA transcript, 1654 nt
Organism: Solanum verrucosum
Lineage: Eukaryota; Viridiplantae; Streptophyta; Magnoliopsida; Solanales; Solanaceae
Exons: 4
Source: RefSeq, a predicted model, not a curated record
AACAUCAGAAUCCCACUAUACAUUCCUUAAAAAACACUUUUUUUCUCCCCUCAAUUCUUUCUUUUGUCCAUUAAGGUAUUGGAAUCCAGCAAAAUCUCAUGAUUCUUUGAUUCUUUAUAUGUUUAUGGUGCUCAUAAGUCAUAGUUUCCAAUAGUAUAUGGCCAAGUCAAACUGUUUCAGCGUCACUGCAUCUAGAAGCUGGUUCCUCAAAUACUCUUUUUCAAACUCAGGUUUAAAAUCUUCCACCACAGAUUUAGGCAAUGGUACUAUAAUCCACUGCUGGAUACCCAAAACCCAUAAAGAAAAAAAGCCCUCUUUGGUCCUCAUACAUGGGAUUGGAGCUAAUGCUAUGUGGCAAUGGAGUGAGUUCAUCAAACCCUUAUCAUCAAGAUUCAAUCUUUAUGUCCCUGACUUGUUGUUUUUUGGUGAAUCUUACACUUCUAGGCCAGAAAGAACUGAAUCUUUUCAGGCUGAGUGUGUUAUGAGGACUAUGGAGGGUUAUGGGGUUAAGAAAAUGGAUGUUGUAGGGUUGAGUUAUGGUGGUUUUGUGGGGUAUAGUAUGGCUGUUCAGUUUCCUGAGGUAGUGGAGAAACUGGUUCUUGUGUGUUGUGGUGUUUGUUUUGAGGAAAAAGAUAUGGAGAAUAGGAUGUUUCAAGUGAAGAGUGUUGAUGAGGCUGUUGCAGUUUUGUUGCCACAGAGUCCUGAAAAGUUGAGAGAGUUGGUGAAAUUGUCUUUUUACAAGCCUAUCAAGAAUCUUCCUUCUUGUUUUCUCAUGAUUUUAUUGAUGUGAUGUGCACAGUCAAUCAUCAAGAAAGAAAGGAGUUGAUCGAAACAUUACACUAUAACAGAAAGCUCUCUGAUCUUCCUAAGAUUACUCAGCCUACGUUGAUAAUAUGGGGAGAAUAUGAUCAGAUACUCCCACUAGAAUUGGCUCACAGAUUAAAAAGGCAUUUAAGUGAGAACGCGGAACUUGUUAUAAUAAAGGAUGCAGGACAUGCAAUUAACAUGGAGAAACCGAAGGAGCUUUUCAAACACUUGAAGUCAUUCCUUCUUGAUUCGCGCCCUCAUACUAAACACGACAGUAAUGGCAACAGCCACAAGCUGGAUUAAAACGCGUGAAGACGACAUUACAUUGGAGGACUUUCCUGGUAAUUUGGCUGAAUCUCUUGGUUAUCUACCUUCAUUGCAUUUAUUUGUCACUUGGUUCUUGCAAUCUCUCGGUGCAUAUUCAUGAGCACCUGCACAGAGUAUUUGUUCUUUGAAGGUAGUUCCCUGAACCGAACAAUACGAUCCUGGAUAUUCUCCUUUCCAUCACUAACUUAUUUAGGCUCAGAGUUUCAAGUUGCAAGGUCCUCUUCCUGAGUCGAUUCAAAACCUUAUGAACCUAACGCAACUUGAUCUUAAGUUACAUUUACGAAACCCCAAUCAUGGGUAGAGGACUCUGCAGUCAGUUAAAACUCGGUCUAAAUAACUUAGUGAUGGAAGGGAGAAUAUCCAGGAUGGUAUUGUUCCGUUCAGGGAGUAACCUUUAAUGAACGAAUACUCUGUGUGGGUGAGAUUCGAAAGAGAUUCAAGAAUAGACCCUGAGAGAUUGGAAGAAUCAAGCGAGAAAUAAUGCAAUGAAGUUAGAUAGCCAAGAGAUCCAGGCAAAUGA